Long non-coding RNA from Manis pentadactyla (Chinese pangolin), 428 nucleotides. RefSeq lists it as uncharacterized. The transcript has 3 exons. The record is from RefSeq and is a predicted model, not a curated record. Lineage: Eukaryota; Metazoa; Chordata; Mammalia; Pholidota; Manidae.
AGAAGAGUUCUGCAUUGAACUGACUUAACAGCUGAAACUACUGAAGUAGCUCUCACUGGGGAAACAUAAGCUAAAACAAAAACGACAACAAUAAAAACCCACCACAAUGGUGGAAGUGUCAGUGAGUCACAUUGGUACCUUGAAACUGGCUCUGGAGGAAGUGUUUACACCAUGGAAACUGGAUGGUGGCCAGAAAGCUCAGGAGCAGCGCAGUGGCAAGGGGGCAGCGCCUCAUGAAAAAAGGGCCACACCUUUUGCAUUCCUGCUCCUCUGCUGGCUUAAUCUCAGCGGUUUUCUACUUUGCUUUUCUCUUUGCCUUAAUUAACUCACAUGCGUAUAAUAUGAUCCAUUAUCCAUCAAACAUUUUAAAACAUCUGUGUAAGAAUUGGUUGGCUAUAAACAAAACAUUGAAGUAUAUAGCUCUUCAG